UAAGUAAGCCAUACGGUCGCGGCUGAUGCAGUCGAGGAAAGUCCGGGCUUCACAGGGUACGAUGCCAGGUAACGCCUGGUGGGGGUGACCCCAAGGAAAGUGCAACAGAAAAUAAACCGCCUUCGGGUAAGGGUGAAAAGGUGAGGUAAGAGCUCACCGCGUCUGCGGUAACGGAGAUGGCAGUGUAAACCCCAUCGGAAGCAAGAUCGAACAGAAGGCUAUAUGGCGACCCGUCAUGCUUUCGGGUUGAUCGCUCGAGUCCGGCAGUGAUGUCGGACCUAGAUUGAUGACCGUUUAAUACAGAACCCGGCUUACGGCUUACUUAAUCA
This 329-nucleotide RNase P RNA is filed under the name Eubacteriales bacterium. RNAcentral describes it as "RNase P RNA component class A". It matches the Rfam family "Bacterial RNase P class A". From Rfam's summary of the family: Ribonuclease P (RNase P) is a ubiquitous endoribonuclease, found in archaea, bacteria and eukarya as well as chloroplasts and mitochondria. Its best characterised activity is the generation of mature 5'-ends of tRNAs by cleaving the 5'-leader elements of precursor-tRNAs. The record is from RNAcentral. Lineage: Bacteria; Bacillati; Bacillota; Clostridia; Eubacteriales.